GCCCAGAUGGCGGAAUGGUAGACGCGGCGGCCUCAAAAGCCGUUGUUCGAGAGGGCGUGCGGGUUCGAGUCCCGCUCUGGGCA
Molecule: transfer RNA, 83 nt
Filed under: Bacillota bacterium
Lineage: Bacteria; Bacillati; Bacillota
Description: tRNA-Leu
Rfam family: tRNA
About the family: Transfer RNA (tRNA) molecules are approximately 80 nucleotides in length. Their secondary structure includes four short double-helical elements and three loops (D, anti-codon, and T loops). Further hydrogen bonds mediate the characteristic L-shaped molecular structure. tRNAs have two regions of fundamental functional importance: the anti-codon, which is responsible for specific mRNA codon recognition, and the 3' end, to which the tRNAs corresponding amino acid is attached (by aminoacyl-tRNA synthetases). tRNAs cope with the degeneracy of the genetic code in two manners: having more than one tRNA (with a specific anti-codon) for a particular amino acid; and 'wobble' base-pairing, i.e. permitting non-standard base-pairing at the 3rd anti-codon position.
Source: RNAcentral